CGCUGCUCAAGUGAGGAGUGUCUUGUGCUGUAUUUAAAGCUAUUUGGACUUUGCUCUCACUUGAUCUGUUUUCUCUUUCUGCAUCAUCAUCGCAGUCAAGAAAGCAACAAACACGAUCUUCAACGCGGUAGUGCUGCAUAAUGGAUAGCAAAAUUAAAAGUGCUCAGAGGGAGGCAGAGGAUGUGAAAGUCAUUAUGCUGGAUCAUGCAAAUAAAGCAGAAGAACGUGAAGGAAAACUCAAGGAUCAGAGAGCUGAGCAACUUCAGUCCACUAGUAAAACUGCAAAGCUAAAAAAUGCAACAAAGCUGAAAGUGAACCAGAAAAUGCAGUACAUGCGGGAUAAUAAAGGACAUUUAAGCAUCUUAAUAGUCUCAGCUGCUAUUAUAAUUGCUGUGGUGAUUGCCAUGCUCGUCACCAAAGACAAAUAUGAUCACAGGCUCUCAGAAGUAGAAAGUGUCUUUGAAGAGCCAUAGCAUCAACUUGGACUGGAACAAGAAGAGGACAAAUCCCCACUACUACACCAGAACUGUCAGUUUGUUCAGGGGAGUAUGACUGACUUUACCAACACUUGGAACCUCUUUUGUCUCAACAAAACCAAUAUUACUGUGGAGAAGUCUUUUCUUGUUUUUGUAGACUGUUUAGGACCCACUUUACUGUAUAUUAGGUGUCUUUAACUAUGUACUUAAGCAUUUGAUACAAGGUACUUAUUAUGUACAUACAUGUUGUUGCAGUGCACUUACAUUUAAAGUACCUGCAUUAAAUUACCCUACCUCUAAACCUACCCAUACAACCUUACACAAUAAGUACAUUGUAUUGUAUGUAUUUUACUGUUAGUACAUAGUAGUUAAAACACAUAAUAUAAAGUUUGACCAUAGUUUUUAUGGGUUAGAUGUUUCUGGGUUGGGGGCAACAUGUUUAGCUGACAUUUAUUGAUUAUGUUUUAUGAUAUAUCUAAGCUAAGAUGAGAGAAAAUUAAUUAUUAGAAAGAAUUUUCAGUAACUUUUUUGUCAAACUACAUAGACUGCGUUCCAAACGGGAUAAAUCACCCUAAGAAGGGCACUUUGAAGGGAGAACAAUCGUGAUAGUCAUGCUUUAAGAUCGCUUCAAACUGAAUUUCCAAUAAAAAUGACUUGAAGUGUGAGUUCUGAAUUACCCUUAUUUCUGUGCCCCACACCUGUCAGCCUUUCAAAGCUCUCGCAGUGGAUGGUAAAGUCUUUUGAUGGGAAUAGGGAAUAUCACUUCUGAUGGAAUACACACUUAGAUUGUUUAGUGUCAUUUGAUAUGUUUAAAGGUGCACUAAGUAAUUUUUUGAGGAAUGUCGAAGUGGCUAACAUGGGCUUACACUGACACCUAGUGGUCUGGAUGCUGCAUCAUUCAAACACAGUGGUUUUCAGUUUCAGAUGCCAUUUAAGAAAUUCACUAAACCCAAUAAACCAGGAUUCAUUUGAUCCAUGAAUGAAAGUGUACGAUUACAGGGCAGUUAUUGAGAUUAAGCGAGUGGUAUUCAGCUGGUCAUGUGAUGCUAAUAUGGCUGCCCCCAUGAGGCGCCCCUGCCCCAUGUAGAAUAAAAGAGCUCUUAUAAGGCUACUGAUAUGACCAAACUCUUCAUCUCACAUGAGUGGUCACAAUUUCACACAUGUUUUAAAAGUACUAUUAAUUUCUUUUCAAGUAAAACUUUUUAAAUGAGGGGAAAAAAUGACUGCGUGCACCUUUAAAAUACUUAAAAAUGCACAAUCAUGCACAUUCAUGGUUAACUCAAGGAGUUUUAAGAUUGUUUGCAUUAUAAUUGCAUUCAAGAUUGCAGGGAAGGUUGUUCACCAAAACUCAUUUGGUGUGCUGUAACUUUGUCAUAUAAACAUGACUUUACCGAAAAGGCUACCACGAAAGACUUGAUCUCCAUGUAAAUAGUGCUGAUAGUUUGGUAUGUAAACAAAAGAAGAAGAAAAGCAAGGUCCAGUGCACAACAUCCCUUUUUCUGUGCAUUGUGCUAACAUCGGUGUAACA
Molecule: long non-coding RNA, 2004 nt
Organism: Xyrauchen texanus (razorback sucker)
Lineage: Eukaryota; Metazoa; Chordata; Actinopteri; Cypriniformes; Catostomidae
Exons: 3
Source: RefSeq, a predicted model, not a curated record